Molecule: unclassified non-coding RNA, 238 nt
Filed under: Hevea brasiliensis (rubber tree)
Lineage: Eukaryota; Viridiplantae; Streptophyta; Magnoliopsida; Malpighiales; Euphorbiaceae
Source: RNAcentral
UACACGUUCAUAUCAUCCUUUCUUCAGAUCAUUAUAACUAGCUAGCUGCUAAACAAGUAGUGCUAAUAAAUCGUAAUACAUUAGUUUUAAUUUGCCAGUGGGAAUUAAAUACAACUUAGUUCUUCUCCUAUACAUCCAUGAAUAUGGUCUUCCAUCGACUGAUUAGCUUCAAUAUCUCUAUUUUUUAUCAUUCUAAACUUCUGCUGUUUUAAGCUUUACAAAAAAAAAAAAAAAAAAA